RNAcentral lists this non-coding RNA (220 nucleotides) under Oxobacter pfennigii. Its description in RNAcentral is "T-box sequence". It matches the Rfam family "T-box leader". From Rfam's summary of the family: Uncharged tRNA acts as the effector for transcription antitermination of genes in the T-box leader family. T-boxes are found upstream of many aminoacyl-tRNA synthetase genes and some amino acid biosynthetic genes usually in Gram-positive bacteria. The record is from RNAcentral. Lineage: Bacteria; Bacillati; Bacillota; Clostridia; Eubacteriales; Clostridiaceae.
UAAAAUGCUAUGAUGAAGAGGAGUAAACUAAAACUUCCGUCAGAGAGGGAGGCUCAUAGGCUGAAAGGUUUUCCGGGUUUAUGUUUUUAGUUGAAGGUAGCUUCUGAGCAUCCGGGCUGAAUUUAAAGUAAGCUCUGACGGUUUCAACCGUUAUGUAUUGAGAGCCGGUGUUAGCCGGAAUUAAGGUGGUACCACGGAAAUAUAUCCUUUCGUCCUUUCU